This 770-nucleotide ribosomal RNA is filed under the name Lactobacillus casei group sp. RNAcentral's name for it is "bacterial SSU rRNA". It matches the Rfam family "Bacterial small subunit ribosomal RNA", at positions 19 to 753 of the family's 1533-position model. The record is from RNAcentral. Lineage: Bacteria; Bacillati; Bacillota; Bacilli; Lactobacillales; Lactobacillaceae.
CUGGCUCAGGAUGAACGCUGGCGGCGUGCCUAAUACAUGCAAGUCGAACGAGUUCUCGUUGAUGAUCGGUGCUUGCACCGAGAUUCAACAUGGAACGAGUGGCGGACGGGUGAGUAACACGUGGGUAACCUGCCCUUAAGUGGGGGAUAACAUUUGGAAACAGAUGCUAAUACCGCAUAGAUCCAAGAACCGCAUGGUUCUUGGCUGAAAGAUGGCGUAAGCUAUCGCUUUUGGAUGGACCCGCGGCGUAUUAGCUAGUUGGUGAGGUAAUGGCUCACCAAGGCGAUGAUACGUAGCCGAACUGAGAGGUUGAUCGGCCACAUUGGGACUGAGACACGGCCCAAACUCCUACGGGAGGCAGCAGUAGGGAAUCUUCCACAAUGGACGCAAGUCUGAUGGAGCAACGCCGCGUGAGUGAAGAAGGCUUUCGGGUCGUAAAACUCUGUUGUUGGAGAAGAAUGGUCGGCAGAGUAACUGUUGUCGGCGUGACGGUAUCCAACCAGAAAGCCACGGCUAACUACGUGCCAGCAGCCGCGGUAAUACGUAGGUGGCAAGCGUUAUCCGGAUUUAUUGGGCGUAAAGCGAGCGCAGGCGGUUUUUUAAGUCUGAUGUGAAAGCCCUCGGCUUAACCGAGGAAGCGCAUCGGAAACUGGGAAACUUGAGUGCAGAAGAGGACAGUGGAACUCCAUGUGUAGCGGUGAAAUGCGUAGAUAUAUGGAAGAACACCAGUGGCGAAGGCGGCUGUCUGGUCUGUAACUGACGCUGAGGCU